This is a long non-coding RNA of Ruditapes philippinarum (Manila clam), 345 nucleotides long. RefSeq lists it as uncharacterized. Lineage: Eukaryota; Metazoa; Mollusca; Bivalvia; Venerida; Veneridae. The transcript has 3 exons. The record is from RefSeq and is a predicted model, not a curated record.
AUCAUUUACAUCACAAUGUAUUGUAUGUUUUUAGUGACAGCGGAGAACUGUGAUCAUGAUUCUGAUUGCAAGUUGACAACAUGUGGCACUAACUUCCACCUUGAUUGCUACAGUAGAGAUAAUGUGUGCACAUGUAUACCAGACCGUAGUUCAGACUACAGCUGUACAGGAAAUGGUGCCGAUGCUUGCAAAUCACAUUUCGGAGAUUGCACUCAUGGUGACCAUCAUUGGCAUUGCGUUGACGGACGUUGCCGAUGCAGCUAUUUCGGAUAAAGCAAUUUGAAACGGCACAUCAACACGCAUGAUUACUUAUAAUAAUUUUGAAAUAAAAUUAUUGCGUUAAAA